Molecule: ribosomal RNA, 465 nt
Filed under: uncultured bacterium
Lineage: Bacteria
Description: bacterial SSU rRNA
Rfam family: Bacterial small subunit ribosomal RNA
Source: RNAcentral
CCUACGGGGGGCAGCAGUGGGGAAUUUUGGACAAUGGACGCAAGUCUGAUCCAGCAAUGCCGCGUGCAGGAUGAAGGCCUUCGGGUUGUAAACUGCUUUUGUACGGAGCGAAAAGGUCUACCCUAAUACGGUGGGCCCAUGACGGUACCGUAAGAAUAAGCACCGGCUAACUACGUGCCAGCAGCCGCGGUAAUACGUAGGGUGCAAGCGUUAAUCGGAAUUACUGGGCGUAAAGCGUGCGCAGGCGGUUAUAUAAGACAGAUGUGAAAUCCCCGGGCUCAACCUGGGACCUGCAUUUGUGACUGUAUAGCUAGAGUACGGUAGAGGGGGAUGGAAUUCCGCGUGUAGCAGUGAAAUGCGUAGAUAUGCGGAGGAACACCGAUGGCGAAGGCAAUCCCCUGGACCUGUACUGACGCUCAUGCACGAAAGCGUGGGGAGCAAACAGGAUUAGAUACCCCAGUAGUC